This 310-nucleotide long non-coding RNA is filed under the name Fukomys damarensis (Damara mole-rat). Its description in RNAcentral is "lncRNA (ENSFDAG00000032968.1)". Lineage: Eukaryota; Metazoa; Chordata; Mammalia; Rodentia; Bathyergidae. The record is from RNAcentral.
GAUAAAUGACACUUUCUAAAAACCACCUGAAAACAAAGGGGCCUCAGCCUGCUUGGUCUACAGAUUUAUCAGAGCUCAGAGAAGUACAGAAGUGGCUGGGAGUGCCCACACAUCAGUUUUCGAGGCCGUGGUGAUGGUCCUGGCUGGGCCAGGGCAGAAGGAGCCCGGUGUGGACUUCAAUCAAGGGGGCACUGCCAGGACAAGACCCUGCUUCGCUUCCUGGAUGCAGUGUGAGUAGAAUAACACAGCUGUGCACUUCUCAGGGGCUGGCUCUGCGCUGACGGCUGUGAGCUCCUGUUCUUGUUUACUU